Molecule: ribosomal RNA, 915 nt
Filed under: Listeria monocytogenes
Lineage: Bacteria; Bacillati; Bacillota; Bacilli; Caryophanales; Listeriaceae
Description: partial 23S ribosomal RNA
Rfam family: Bacterial large subunit ribosomal RNA
Source: RNAcentral
UUGGUUAAGUUAGAAAGGGCGCACGGUGGAUGCCUUGGCACUAGGAGCCGAAGAAGGACGGGACUAACACCGAUAUGCUUUGGGGAGCUGUACGUAAGCGUUGAUCCAGAGAUUUCCGAAUGGGGGAACCCACUAUCUUUAGUCGGAUAGUAUCCUUACGUGAAUACAUAGCGUAAGGAAGGCAGACCCAGGGAACUGAAACAUCUAAGUACCUGGAGGAAGAGAAAGAAAAAUCGAUUUCCUGAGUAGCGGCGAGCGAAACGGAAAGAGCCCAAACCAAGAAGCUUGCUUCUUGGGGUUGUAGGACACUCUAUACGGAGUUACAAAAGAAAGUUAUAAAUGAAGCGGUCUGGAAAGGCCCGCCAAAGACGGUAACAGCCCGGUAGUUGAAAUGGCUUUCCCUCCAGAGUGGAUCCUGAGUACGGCGGAACACGUGAAAUUCCGUCGGAAUCCGGGAGGACCAUCUCCCAAGGCUAAAUACUCCCUAGUGACCGAUAGUGAACCAGUACCGUGAGGGAAAGGUGAAAAGCACCCCGGAAGGGGAGUGAAACAGUUCCUGAAACCGUGUGCCUACAAGUAGUUAGAGCCCGUUAAUGGGUGAUAGCGUGCCUUUUGUAGAAUGAACCGGCGAGUUACGAUUUGUUGCAAGGUUAAGCGGAAAAAGCGGAGCCGUAGCGAAAGCGAGUCUGAAUAGGGCGCAUAAGUAACAGGUCGUAGACCCGAAACCAGGUGAUCUACCCAUGUCCAGGAUGAAGGUAAGGUAAUACUUACUGGAGGUCCGAACCCACGCACGUUGAAAAGUGCGGGGAUGAGGUGUGGGUAGCGGAGAAAUUCCAAUCGAACUUGGAGAUAGCUGGUUCUCUCCGAAAUAGCUUUAGGGCUAGCCUCGAGGUAAAGAGUCAUGGAGGUAGAGCA